RNAcentral lists this ribosomal RNA (752 nucleotides) under uncultured bacterium. RNAcentral describes it as "bacterial SSU rRNA". It matches the Rfam family "Bacterial small subunit ribosomal RNA", at positions 28 to 776 of the family's 1533-position model. The record is from RNAcentral.
AUUGAACGCUGGCGGCAUGCCUUACACAUGCAAGUCGAACGGUAACGGGUCCUUCGGGAUGCCGACGAGUGGCGAACGGGUGAGUAAUAUAUCGGAACGUGCCCAGUAGUGGGGGAUAACUGCUCGAAAGAGCAGCUAAUACCGCAUACGACCUGAGGGUGAAAGGGGGGGAUCGCAAGACCUCUCGCUAUUGGAGCGGCCGAUAUCAGAUUAGCUAGUUGGUGGGGUAAAGGCCUACCAAGGCAACGAUCUGUAGUUGGUCUGAGAGGACGACCAGCCACACUGGGACUGAGACACGGCCCAGACUCCUACGGGAGGCAGCAGUGGGGAAUUUUGGACAAUGGGCGCAAGCCUGAUCCAGCAAUGCCGCGUGCAGGAAGAAGGCCUUCGGGUUGUAAACUGCUUUUGUCAGGGAAGAAAUCUUCUGGGCUAAUACCCCGGGAGGAUGACGGUACCUGAAGAAUAAGCACCGGCUAACUACGUGCCAGCAGCCGCGGUAAUACGUAGGGUGCGAGCGUUAAUCGGAAUUACUGGGCGUAAAGCGUGCGCAGGCGGCUUUGCAAGACAGAUGUGAAAUCCCCGGGCUCAACCUGGGAACUGCAUUUGUGACUGCAAGGCUAGAGUACGGCAGAGGGGAUGGAAUUCCGCGUGUAGCAGUGAAAUGCGUAGAUAUGCGGAGGAACACCAAUGGCGAAAGCAAUCCCCUGGGCCUGUACUGACGCUCAUGCACGAAAGCGUGGGGGGCAAACAGG